Molecule: long non-coding RNA, 1050 nt
Organism: Anopheles arabiensis
Lineage: Eukaryota; Metazoa; Arthropoda; Insecta; Diptera; Culicidae
Exons: 2
Source: RefSeq, a predicted model, not a curated record
GAUCCUACAAAAGAGGGAAGGGGAAAGAAAGACACAGAAAGGGAGAGUGUAAAUUAAACAGCAUCCAAUUUGGUUGUUUUAGUUCAUCCAUCCAACAGUUGUGAAAGAGGGACGUCAUUUAAGCCUCAUCCAAUACAUUCAAUCAUGCUCCUGUUCUACCCAAGGUUAACGCUGGCGGGGAACUAACCUAACGUAUACAACCAGCUGUGACUGCAUUCUAUCACACAUUUGCCAGCCAGUGGUUCGGAGGAGAACGGUGCGCUAUAAAUAACUCCACACUACUGAAACUACCGCAGCGAACUAAACCCCGUCAACCGGUGGCCUAGACAUACUGACGAUGGUACAGUACAGCGCACCAUCCUCUCACCACGCUGGCACCGAACUCAUCAACAUUAGGCGUCAACAUUAAGUCCCUGGCUGACUCUACAGGCUGCUGCUGCGACUCAUCCACCUCCAGCUGGCAUCUCUUCUUACAUGAACUUGUGCUAACGAAAUGGUAUGCAAGCGGCAUGGGCAUCAUCGUACCGUUCCUUCACACCACAAACCAAGCAUUGCGGACAUCUCCUCUGCUGACUGCUGCUGCCAAAUAAAUGCCAAAAGCAUCUCCCCUUGCGCCCUACGACUACGGGUUUUUGAUUCUCAUCAUUCUGUUCGCUUUGGGUCGACCUGCUGAAUAUUGCAGGUGCCGACAGCAACUCGUUCCGUUUCGGAAAUUCAAUCUCACUACAAUAAUGUGCAGGGGAAGAGUUACGAGUCCGGCUGUCGAACUCCAGGCGAACAAAUUAGUGCAAUCCACGUAGUUGUUAUUAUGUUUGGCAGCCUGAACUUGCUCGUUUUUUCUCAAAGGUUUUUUCUUGAAAUAUUAACAUCAAGAGAACCGCACAACCAAGGAUAAGCAAUUAAAAUCAUUAACCUUCAAGAUGUCAGCUGUCCACCAUUUGGCUGAACGAUCGAAUGUCCUCCUGCUAUUAUCUACUGCUGGUUUCGAAUAAAUUUACCCUUUUUAUAUUUAGAAUGUUUGAAGGUUUUCAAACCGAUUCAAAUGUCAAA